AAAAAGUUUCCAUUAUGUAUCCAAAUGUCAAACUUAACGAUUAUGGAGAAGUUUACUGCUUUAAGGCUGAACACGAGGCUGCUACAUUUUAGGUAAAUAAAAGUCUUUAUUAAAAACUAGGUCAGGGAGCAGCCAAGAUGGCGGAACAGCUUGGAAGUUUGUUGUGUGUCUCGUGUCCCUGAAAUACAACCAGACCAACUCUAAACCAUCCUGCACACCUAGAAAACAGAUCUGAGGAUUAACACAACAAUCUGCACCACCUGAACCACCGAACUCAGCAGGCACUCAGGAUCUUCUAUUAAUAUGCCAUCAUCCCUGGGAGAGAUACACGUGCACAAUACGAUCAUUACUGUUGAGCAAACACUUCACAUAAGGCAAGUUGUUCAAGCAAUUGCCUAAGAAAAAGGAAGAGAUGACCAAUAUUUUGAAGAGUGAGGAAAGCUGAAUUUCCCCAGUGCGACCAUGACAAAGCAGGUAAAGAGAGGCACGAGGGAGGCACCAGAUUCUGGGGUCCUCCCAAUCUCUUGUGCGCGACAGACCUGACUGCUGGAGAAUUCUGAUGGUGCUAACAGACCCUACCCCUGAGUAUGGAAUCAUAAACUGUUCCCUAUGGCCUGUAGAAGAUUCAUAUUCUCACUAGGGUUCCCUGUGUGACUCGAUUGUUCAACUUAUAUUCUUCUACUUUAGAGAUGCUCAAUCUUCAAGGAUCUCAGGUAUACAGACACAAUUACACACAAAGCGUCAUGGCAUGGUCUCGAAAAAUUGCCUUACUCAUAUGAUAGCUAAGAUCCCAACAGAGGUGAUAAGUGGUGGCGAAACAAACAAUCAGACCAGCAGAUUCCAUCGUUCCUAGGUGGUAUGUACUAUGUACCUGUGGAUGAAAAAGACGGUCAUAAUCACGGCCUCCUUGAGGGGCAAUAUAAGAGAGCAGGUGGUGACGAGCAGAAUAGGUCAGCACCAGAGACUGGUCGUCACAACUGGGCCAGGCCCCCGCUUUGGUUUGGGCACUGCCACAGGAGCCACGUGGGGGCAGCGUCCCUUCCUGUCCUCAAGCAGCUAGAAAAUUACACAGGAAGCCGGUUACACUAACCUGGCAAAUGUGGAUGAUGAAUAGUGGCUGCCGUUCCCCAGGCAUCCUUAUACUUCCCCUGUGAGUACCUUCCAUUGUAGAAAACUCUAAACAAACCAGAAUUAACGGGAAUUCGGCGUCUUCCUUUCCAUCGUGAAAAGUUUCCUUGACGAACCCUUUUAGGAAACGCCAUUUGGGGAGGGAGGGUUAGAAAUUGGAAAAAGAAAGCCUUAACAUCAGCAUGUUAACUAUUUUUAUGUGUGGAAAGCGAAUAUCUGAUAGGAGAGAUUUUACACAGAGAAACAGUUUGCUCUAAAAAGCAGUGAUGGUGAACCCUCUCUAUACGACAUGGGCGAGUCUCAUGCUGAGUGAAUGAAACCAGACCAAAAAAUUAAAAAAAAAAAAAAAAAGUGGAGGUAUACUGAAACUGAAA
This is a long non-coding RNA of Leopardus geoffroyi (Geoffroy's cat), 1502 nucleotides long. RefSeq lists it as uncharacterized. NCBI's taxonomy places the organism in Eukaryota, Metazoa, Chordata, Mammalia, Carnivora, Felidae. The record is from RefSeq and is a predicted model, not a curated record. The transcript has 2 exons.